AUUCGCCUGCGGGUGCCUUCUAUGAAAUUGGCUCCCCGCUUCAUAGGUCCUUAUCGUAUUCUGCAUAAGGUUAUUCCUGUUUCAUAUGCCUUGGGUCUUCCUAGGAAUCUGCGUAUUCCUAAUGUCUUUUACACCUCGUUGUUGAAGCCUUACGUACACAACCGCUAUACCCGGCAUUCUCUGCCUCCCCCUCCUGUCUCCGUGGAAGGUCAUGAGGAAUUCGAAGUCUCUGCUGUUCUUGACUCUCGUUACCUUAGGGGUCGACUUUAGUACUUGGUGCAUUGGAAGGGUUAUGGGCCUGAGGAACGCAGUUGGAUUUCAGCUGAUGCUGUUCACGCUCCCCGCCUUGUGCGUUCUUACGAUUCUCGUUUUCCUGCCAGGCCUGGCCCUACCCGCCCGGAGGGCGUGUCCUCAGGGGGGUACUGUAGUGUUACUUACCUUAUCCAGGGGCCGGCCGCGGUCCUGCUGCUGCACGAGCCGCUCAUCC
This is a non-coding RNA of Pelobates cultripes (western spadefoot toad), 487 nucleotides long. The record is from the annotation of a GenBank genome assembly. Lineage: Eukaryota; Metazoa; Chordata; Amphibia; Anura; Pelobatidae.